GCAGAUUGUAAAAAUGAAAAGAUGAAAUGAAAUGUGUGCAAUAUAAAUUAACAGUACAGUUAAUUAAAGCCGACCAAUUAAAAAAAAAAAAAAAACAUAUUUAAAUAAAUGUACAUGAAAUAAAAAUAAGGCAGAAAUGACUUAAGGGAAAUGUGCAAAACUGAGAAGGUUGUAAAAAAAUUAAAUGAAAUCUGUAAUAUAAAUCAACAGUACAGUACAAGUGAAAUCCUGACAAGCGAGUUAGGUUUUAAAGCAGCCAGAGUAUCCCUGUUUUUUUUGUUUUGUUUUUUAGAUCUUUUUUUUUUCAGAAUUUUUUUUUCAGGGUAGAUGGAUGAGGUAGGAUGGAGUGGGAGGUGAAGGAAGGUGUUCUUACAGGUGUCUAGUCUCAGGCACGUUGAUGUUGACGUCCUGGAUAGUCUCCUUUUUCUUCUCUUCUCUCUCCUAUGUCUUUGUCUCCUUGUCCUGGAGCUUGUGCCUCAUUUCGUCCAUCUCCGUCUGCCGGUCUUUUUUUUUUUUUUUUUUUCCAGAAUUUUUUUUCAGGGUAGAUGGAUGAGGUAGGAUGGAGUGGGAGGUGAAGGAAGGUGUUCUUACAGGUGUCUAGUCUCAGGCACGUUGAUGUUGACGUCCUGGAUAGUCUCCUUUUUCUUCUCUUCUCUCUCCUAUGUCUUUGUCUCCUUGUCCUGGAGCUUGUGCCUCAUUUCGUCCAUCUCUGUCUGCCGGUCUUUUUUUUUUUUUUUUAAGUACAGGCAGAUGUUUUCAAGGACUGUUUUGUUGUCCUCUAAUUCUGGGAUCCUGGUGAUACGGAUCUAAUGUUCUUUGGGGAUGGUAUCCUCUGUUUGUUGGAUCUUAGAGAUCAGGCACAAUACAGUGAACCCACUGCUUGUGACCAUCUCUUGGUGGAUAUCCUCUUGGCUCUUUUUCAAAUUCAAAGAUUUUAUUGUCAAAUAUACCCCCCUUGUGUAUUGAAAUUCUUAUGCUUGCCUUUUCUGGACAGCCGACCAAUUUUAAAAUAAAAAAAAUAAAAAUAAAUGAUUUACAUAAAUGUACAUGAAAUAAAAAUGAGGCAAAAAUGAGGUAAGGGGAAAUGUGCAAAACUGAGCAGGUUGUAAAAAAAAAAUGAAAAUGAAAUGAGUGCAAUAUAAAUUAACAGUACAGUUAAUUAAAGCCCACCAAUAAAAAUAAAAAAAAAAAAUAUAUAUGUUUAAAUAAAUGUACAUGAAAUAAAAAUAAGGCAGAAAAGAGGUAAGUGAAAAUGUGCAAAACUGAGCAGGUUGUAAAAAAAAAUGAAAUGAAAUGGGUGAAAUAUAAAUUAACAGUACAGUUAAUUAAAGCCGACCAAUUAAAAAAAAAAAGAUUUUUUUUUAAAAAAUAAAUGUACUUGAAAUAAAAAUAAGGCAGAAAUGACGUAAGGGAAAUGUGCAAAACUGAGCAGUUUGUAAAAAAAUGAAAUGAAAUGUGUAAUAUAAAUCAACAGUACAGUAAAAGUGAAAUAACAAGCUGAAGUUCAGACCAGUUGUGGGUUAGGUUCUGAAGCAGCCAGAGAAUCCCUCUGUCAUUUUUUUUUUUUUUUUAGAUCGUUCUUAUUUAGAUCUUUUUUUUUUUUUUUUAGAUCUGUCUUACUUGGAUCUUUUUUUUUUUUUAUCUUUCUUAUUUAGAUCUUUUUUUCAGAUCUUUUUUUUUUUUAAGUACAGGCAGAUGUUUUCAAGGACUGUUUUGUUGUCCUCUAAUUCUGGGAUCCUGGUGAUAAGGAUCUAAUGUUCUUUGGGGAUGGUAUCCUCUGUUUGUUGGAUCUUAGAGAUCAGGCACAAUACAGUGAACCCACUGCUUGUGACCAUCUCGUUGUGGAUAUCCUCUUGGCUCUUUUUCAAAUUCAAAGAUUUUAUUGUCAAAUAUACCCCCCUUGUGUAUUGAAAUUCUUAUGCUUGCCUUUUCUGGACAGCCAACCAAUUUUAAAAUAAAAAAAAAUUAAAAAUA
This is a long non-coding RNA of Gasterosteus aculeatus aculeatus (three-spined stickleback), 1974 nucleotides long. NCBI's taxonomy places the organism in Eukaryota, Metazoa, Chordata, Actinopteri, Perciformes, Gasterosteidae. The record is from Ensembl.